This 468-nucleotide ribosomal RNA is filed under the name uncultured bacterium. Its description in RNAcentral is "partial 16S ribosomal RNA". It matches the Rfam family "Bacterial small subunit ribosomal RNA", at positions 28 to 507 of the family's 1533-position model. The record is from RNAcentral.
GACGAACGCUGGCGGCGUGCUUAACACAUGCAAGUCGAACGGAAAGGCCCUGCUGUUGUGGGGUGCUCGAGUAGCGAACGGGUGAGUAACGGGUGAUUAACCUGCCCUUGACUUUGGGAUAACGUCAGGAAACUGGGGCUAAUACCGGCUAGGAGCUCCUGCUGCAUGGUGUGGGUUGGAAAGUUUCGGCGGUUGGGGAUGGACUCGCGGCUAAACAGCUUGUUGGUGGGGUAGUGGCUUACCAAGGCAUUGACGGGUAGCCGGCCUGAGAGGGAGACCGGCCACAUUGGGACUGAGAUACGGCCCAGACUCCUACGGGAGGCAGCAGUGGGGAAUAUUGCACAAUGGGCGGAAGCCUGAUGCAGCAACGCCGCGUGCGGGAUGACGGCCUUCGGGUUGUAAACCGCUUUCGCCUGUGACGAAGCGUGAGUGACGGUAAUGGGUAAAGAAGCACCGGCUAAAUACGUG